AACCCAAUGUUUAUAUCCCAGGACAAAUUGGCUAGCAACAGAAAGCUAGCUAUUGCCAUAAAUGUUUAAUUAUUUUCGAUCUGUCCCCAAAUUAAUAUAGGUGGUUCAGAGUUUGUUUUUAUAUGUCAACCUGCAUGUCCUGAGCUUGUCUGACACCAGACUCUGCGGUUUCAGAGUCUACGAGCCAGGAUAGGGAGCAGGUUGCCGUUUGUCAUGAAUCUUGCCCUGUAUGUGUAACAGUGUAACUUCAGACCUUCCAGACACCAGGGUGGACAAAAAAAAGCACGCUUGCUGUCUGUUCAGCAUGUAAUUUGAAGUAGGCUAGAGGCGGAGAGGGUAGAAAGUAGGGCUGCACGCACCGGUAGAUAACAGUAGCCAGAAAAUACUGGACCGGUACCAGACACCAGGGUGGACAAAAAAGCACGCUUGCUGUCUGUUCAGCAUGUAAUUUGAAGUAGGCUAGAGGCGGAGAGGGUAGGAAGUAGGGCUGCACGCACCGGUAGAUAACAGUAGCCAGAAAAUACUGGACCGGUACCAGACACCAGGGUGGACAAAAAAGCACGCUUGCUGUCUGUUCAGCAUGUAAUUUGAAGUAGGCUAGAGGCGGAGAGGGUAGAAAGUAGGGCUGCACGCACCGGUAGAUAACAGUAGCCAGAAAAUACUGCGCCGGUACCAAAGGAUACAACCGCCAGAGUUUACGCGCCAGGAUAGGGAGCAGGGUGCCGUUUGUCAUGAAUCUUGCCCUGUAUGUGUAACAGUAUAAUUUCAGACCGUCCCCUCGCCCAUACCCGGGCGCGAACCAGCAGAACUGCCUCCAAGGUUGGAUUCGGAAAAAGUUGCAAUGAAGGACAUGUGUUUCCUGUGUAACGACACAAAGUGCCCAGAGGUGACGAAAUGUUUUGAUCAUAAUGGUGACCUGAACCAGAAUCUGCUGACGAUGCCAGGUCCUUUCCAGCAAUGCACAUCCACCCCCUAUCCUCCUUCUGGGAGGUGCACCAUUUGUAGUCUGGAUUAUUAUUACACUGUGUGCAGAAACGUCUCAGAGAGCAUCCAGCCUGCCCUGGAGGCCAACAGCACAGCCAUUACCAACUAUGAACAAGCCAAUUGCCCUGUCAUCGGCAUCGCACCAACUACUGUGAAUGGUUCAGACUUCACGGGAGCUGCUGCUCAAUAUGGACGUCCUGGGGGUGAACUGUGGUGGUGUUUACUGAUACUCGUCCUGGUCGUUGUUUGCAUUGGCAUCAUUGCUUACAGGUGUAUCAAAAAGCGCAAAAUAGAAAACCUUGUCAUAUAAGGCACUCAGGACUACCCAUCCCUUAACCAAGCUAUUUGGACACAACCACCAGAGACAGGGACAGCACUCAGGACUACCCAAACCCCCAGAUCAGGAUGCUGCUGCAUUAUCUCUGCCUUAAUUCCAUCACUUUAACUCUUCUUAAAGUUGUAAUCUUUUAAUACAUUUUCACAUUCAGAUUCUUGUCAAUCAGUACCAUUAAACCAGUGCCUUGGAUAAUUGUUGGUCCUCUAAUACUGACACCAGUCUAUUAAAGCCUACUCUUAUUCUUAG
This is a non-coding RNA of Oncorhynchus mykiss (rainbow trout), 1567 nucleotides long. Lineage: Eukaryota; Metazoa; Chordata; Actinopteri; Salmoniformes; Salmonidae. The record is from RefSeq and is a predicted model, not a curated record.